GGUCUCGAGGAUUAAAAGGGAAUCGGGUGAAAAUCCCGGACAGUCCCGCUGCUGUGAAGCUCUACCAACCACUCGAAUUCUACACGCCACUGAUCCAUGUAUCGGGAAGGCAUCGAGUGGGGAGUCAGUCAGAAGACCUGCCAUCGAUUUUUA
Molecule: non-coding RNA, 153 nt
Filed under: uncultured Barnesiella sp.
Lineage: Bacteria; Pseudomonadati; Bacteroidota; Bacteroidia; Bacteroidales; Barnesiellaceae
Source: RNAcentral